AUUGAACGCUGGCGGAAUGCUUUACACAUGCAAGUCGAACGGCAGCACGGACUUCGGUCUGGUGGCGAGUGGCGAACGGGUGAGUAAUGUAUCGGAACGUACCCAGUCGUGGGGGAUAACGUAGUGAAAAUUACGCUAAUACCGCAUACGAUCUAUGGAUGAAAGCGGGGGAUCGCAAGACCUCGCGCGAUUGGAGCGGCCGAUAUCAGAUUAGGUAGUUGGUGGGGUAAAGGCCCACCAAGCCAACGAUCUGUAGCUGGUCAGAGAGGACGACCAGCCACACUGGAACUGUGAGACGGUCCAGACUCAUACGUGAGGCAGCAGUGGGGAAUUUUGGACAAUGGGCGAAAGCCUGAUCCAGCCAUUACGCGUGCAGGAUGAAAGCCCUCGGGUUGUAAACUGCUUUUGUACAGAACGAAAAAGUUUCUACUAAUACUAGGAGCUCAUGACGGUACUGUAAGAAUAAGCACCGGCUAACUACGUGCCAGCCGCCGCCGUAA
RNAcentral lists this ribosomal RNA (500 nucleotides) under uncultured bacterium. RNAcentral's name for it is "partial 16S ribosomal RNA". It matches the Rfam family "Bacterial small subunit ribosomal RNA", at positions 30 to 523 of the family's 1533-position model. The record is from RNAcentral.